Molecule: ribosomal RNA, 478 nt
Filed under: uncultured bacterium
Lineage: Bacteria
Description: partial 16S ribosomal RNA
Rfam family: Bacterial small subunit ribosomal RNA
Source: RNAcentral
GACGAACGCUGGCGGCGUGCCUAACACAUGCAAGUCGAGCGAAGUUAUUCCUUCGGGGAUAACUUAGCGGCGGACGGGUGAGUAACACGUGGGUAACCUGCCUUAUAGAGGGGGAUAGCCUUCCGAAAGGAAGAUUAAUACCGCAUAACAUCAGAUUCUCGCAUGGGAAUUUGAUCAAAGGAGCAAUCCGCUAUAGGAUGGACCCGCGGCGCAUUAGCUAGUUGGUGAGGUAACGGCUCACCAAGGCGACGAUGCGUAGCCGACCUGAAAGGGGGAACGGCCACAUUGGAGCUGAGAGAUGGCCCAGACUCCUACGGGAGGCAGCAGUGGGGAAUAUUGCACAAUGGGGGAAACCCUGAUGAAGCAACGCCGCGUGAGUGAUGAAGGCCUUCGGGUUGUAAAGCUCUGUCUUUGGGGACGAUAAUGACGGUACCCAAGGAGGAAGCCACGGCUAACUACGUGCCAGCCGCCGCAGUAA